Molecule: long non-coding RNA, 960 nt
Filed under: Papio anubis (olive baboon)
Lineage: Eukaryota; Metazoa; Chordata; Mammalia; Primates; Cercopithecidae
Description: lncRNA (ENSPANG00000044204.1)
Source: RNAcentral
AACAGCACUUUUCAUUCAUAGUUGAAAGAACCUCAGUGUCCCGCUGUCAGCUCUGAAAAUAGGCUGUAGUAAAAUAGAAUUACAUACUAAGUGCAAUUAAGAACAAACCAGCCAACUUGGUGCAAAGUUUCAGCUUUUUUUUAGGAAAGCAAGACUUCUUUUGAACCAUUUGCUUUAAAAUUCUAAUGUUAUUGUAAAAAUAUUUACUUUAGUAACUCAAAAGGUGCUGUUUAUUUUAUAACAUAGUUGAAUACAUUUUCCUUCAUCAAUAGUUCUCUUUAUAGUUGUAUAAAUAUCAGCUUGUGUGUAUGCCGUUACUUUUAUGGUACUUAAAAUGAAAGUGAAGGAAAGCACUGUAAUUGGGGUCAGAUAAUUUUAUUACGAAAUGCAUGCUGUAGUUUAGUGCAUACAUUAAAACAUCAUACACUAGGUUUAAAUUUCUAAUUUCAUUUUUGUCUGAAAUCAGAGAAAUUUUAUCUAGACUAUCAAGCCUAAAGAAAACAAAAACAAAUACAAAAAUACAAAAACUCGCACUAUAACAAAUCUCAUGUAUUCCUUUAUAGUGGAGAGAAUUGCUUUGCAAAGGAGUCCGGGUCCCACUGGAAGGACCCCUUUCCAUACACCGUAGCAAUUCCGUAGCAGCCUCGACUCUCCCCUCGACGGACGGCAGAUGGCGCUGCGCUUCUCUUUUUGCCGCCUCGAUGACGGGACAGGAACCCAACUUUGGCAGAGCUGAGUUGAAGAUUGCUAGCGACCUAUUCGGAACUGGAGAUGAAGAAACCACAUCCAGAAAACAUCAACUUUCAGAGAGAAGACAGGGACAAGGAUUCUUAAAUCCAUUCUUGUGCUGCUCCUGUACAGAAGAAUGUGGCGGCAACAGGGUGAGAUAACUCCGUAGAAUUAGUAUUCCACCCUUCCUUCCUUCCUUCCUUCCUUCCCUUCCUUCCUUCCUUCCUCCCU